GAUGAACGCUGGCGGCGUGCCUAAUACAUGCCAGUCGAGCGAACAGACGAGGAGUUUGCUCCUCUGACGUUAGCGGCGGACGGGUGAGUAACACGUGUAUAACCUACCUAUAUUACUGGGAUAACUUCGGGACACCGGAGCUAAUACCGGAUAAUAUAUUGAACCGCAUGGUUCAAUAGUGAAAGACGGUUUUGCUGUCACUUAUAGAUGGAUCCGCGGCGCAUUAGCUAGUUGGUAAGGUAACGGCUUACCAAGGCAACGAUGCGUAGCCGACCUGAGAGGGUGAGCGGCCACACUGGGACGGAGACACGGUCCAGACUCCUACGGGAGGCAGCAGUAGGAAAUCUGGCGCAAUGGGCGAAAGCCUGACGGAGCGACGCCGCGUGAGUGAUGAAGGUCGUCGGAUCGUAAAACUCUGUUAUGAGGGAAGAACAAAUGUGUAAGUAAGUAGGCACGUCUUGACGGUACCUAAUCAGAAAGCCACGGCUAACUACGUG
RNAcentral lists this ribosomal RNA (497 nucleotides) under uncultured bacterium. Its description in RNAcentral is "partial 16S ribosomal RNA". It matches the Rfam family "Bacterial small subunit ribosomal RNA", at positions 28 to 507 of the family's 1533-position model. The record is from RNAcentral.